Molecule: ribosomal RNA, 497 nt
Filed under: uncultured bacterium
Lineage: Bacteria
Description: partial 16S ribosomal RNA
Rfam family: Bacterial small subunit ribosomal RNA
Source: RNAcentral
GAUGAACGCUGGCGGCGUGCCUAAUACAUGCAAGUCGAGCGAACAGACGAGGAGCUUGCUCCUCUGACGUUAGCGGCGGACGGGUGAGUAACACGUGGAUAACCUACCUAUAAGACUGGGAUAACUUCGGGAAACCGGAGCUAAUACCGGAUAAUAUAUUGAACCGCAUGGUUCAAUAGUGAAAGACGGUUUUGCUGUCACUUAUAGAUGUAUCCGCGCCGCAUUAGCUAGUUGGUAAGGUAACGGCAUACCAAGGCAACGAUGCGUAGCCGACCUGAGAGGUUGAACGGCCACACUGGAACUGAGACACGGUCCAGACUCCUACGGGAGGCAGCAGUAGGGAAUCUUCCGCAAUGGGCGAAAGCCUGACGGAGCAACGCCGCGUGAGUGAUGAAGGUCUUCGGAUCGUAAAACUCUGUUAUUAGGGAAGAACAAAUGUGUAAGUAACUAUGCACGUCUUGACGGUACCUAAUCAGAAAGCCACGGCUAACUACGUG